RNAcentral lists this ribosomal RNA (460 nucleotides) under uncultured bacterium. Its description in RNAcentral is "partial 16S ribosomal RNA". It matches the Rfam family "Bacterial small subunit ribosomal RNA", at positions 338 to 795 of the family's 1533-position model. The record is from RNAcentral.
CCUACGGGUGGCAGCAGUGAGGAAUAUUGGUCAAUGGACGAGAGUCUGAACCAGCCAAGUAGCGUGAAGGAUGACGGCCCUAUGGGUUGUAAACUUCUUUUAUAUGGGAAUAAAAUGUUCCACGUGUGGGAUUUUGUAUGUACCAUAUGAAUAAGGAUCGGCUAAUUCCGUGCCAGCAGCCGCGGUAAUACGGAGGAUCCGGGCGUUAUCCGGAUUUAUUGGGUUUAAAGGGAGCGUAGGUGGAUUGUUAAGUCAGUUGUGAAAGUUUGCGGCUCAACCAUAGAAUUGCAGUUGAAACUGGCAGUCUUGAGUACAGUAGAGGUGGGCGGAAUUCGUGGUGUAGCGGUGAAAUGCUUAGAUAUCACGAAGAACUCCGAUUGCGAAGGCAGUUCACUGGACUGCAACUGACACUGAGGCUCGAAAGUGUGGGUAUCAAACAGGAUUAGAUACCCGAGUAGUC